This 443-nucleotide ribosomal RNA is filed under the name uncultured bacterium. Its description in RNAcentral is "partial 16S ribosomal RNA". It matches the Rfam family "Bacterial small subunit ribosomal RNA", at positions 338 to 795 of the family's 1533-position model. The record is from RNAcentral.
ACUACGGGCGGCAGCAGUGGGGAAUAUUGGGCAAUGGGCGCAAGCCUGACCCAGCAACGCCGAGUGAAGGAAGAAGGCUUUCAGGUUGAAAACUUCUUUUAUCAGAGAAGAAGCAAGUGACGGUACCUGAUGAAUAAGCCACGGCUAACUACGUGCCAGCAGCCGCGGUAAUACGUAGGUGGCAAGCGUUAUCCGGAUUUACUGGGUGUAAAGGGCGUGUAGGCGGGAAAGCAAGUCAGAUGUGAAAACCAUGGGCUCAACCUGUGGCCUGCAUUUGAAACUGUUUUUCUUGAGUACUGGAGAGGCAGACGGAAUUCCUAGUGUAGCGGUGAAAUGCGUAGAUAUUAGGAGGAACACCAGUGGCGAAGGUGGUCUGCUGGACAGCAACUGACGCUGAGGCGCGAAAGCGUGGGGAGCAAACAGGAUUAGAUACCCUUGUAGUU